CUUCUCAAACGACUCAAACCUCGGACGUUCUGAGUGUUCGGGCACUUCGGACUUCACCCCGAAGGCACUUUACGCCACUUUUUCUUGCUGAAGGAGGGCAUUCGCCCUUCCGCUCGCGGCGGGCGGGGUUGCGCUCGUGAAUACUUUUCCCAUGAGUGAAUGUGCAGCCAACAAAUAAUAGAAAUUCGAGAAGGGAAAAGCUGGAAUGCCGUCGUCGGGCAACAAUUUCCUCAACUUAUACUAGCUCUCUGCGGCUGAGGAAAUCUCAACACCAGAGGGUGAAACCCACAGUCGGAUUUUGACCGAGCAACGUCCUUUUCAAUGUGAGGCGCAUGUUCCUGCUACAGAAUGGCCAUAUGGUCACCCUGUUCCAGCGGCUUUGGUGCCAAACAUCAAAUUUGACCAUUAUACGAAACUGUCGACCUGCGGAGUUUGGCCUAAAAGGUUUUACAGAAUCUUCCUUGGGAUGAUUUCUUUCAUGGUGGAAUAAUUGCCACAAGAUGCCCUUGGCCCUGAUAAGUUCAAAACAAAUCAUCCUGACCAUAAGCAGGGAAUUAAAUGCGCCGUGUCUGCUGGCCGUCGCCUUCUUCUGCCCACCUCUCCCUUUUUCAACGUUUUCAA
Molecule: long non-coding RNA, 621 nt
Organism: Neocloeon triangulifer
Lineage: Eukaryota; Metazoa; Arthropoda; Insecta; Ephemeroptera; Baetidae
Exons: 4
Source: RefSeq, a predicted model, not a curated record